AAAAAACAUUAAAGUAGAUAGACUGAUUUCCUUUAAAAAUAUAUGUUAAAAUGUGGUUCAACCUGUGCCUUUGAAAGGGCAAAUAUCACCAAUUUUAGAUCAUUACUUGUAGUUAAUUCAAGAAUCAACUCCUGAACUUUAGCUACGGAGCUAAAAUAUGUAAAAUAUAUAACAAAACCCUGCUGUUGGAAAAAAUGUAAAAUAAUUACUCCCCUUAGUAAGUAAUAAACGAGGAAUAUGGAAAUAUGCAAGAUUUAUUUCUCGGGGAUAAUAUAAGAUGACCAGAGGAGCUACUAUAAAAUUUUAUUUACAAAUUUUUCAUGAAAACAAUGUAUGAAUGUGUGAACAAGAAUAAUAACGAAACUUGACACAGAA
This is a long non-coding RNA of Dendroctonus ponderosae (mountain pine beetle), 375 nucleotides long. RefSeq lists it as uncharacterized. The transcript is spliced from 2 exons. The record is from RefSeq and is a predicted model, not a curated record. NCBI's taxonomy places the organism in Eukaryota, Metazoa, Arthropoda, Insecta, Coleoptera, Curculionidae.